CCUACGGGAGGCAGCAGUGAGGAAUAUUGGACAAUGGGCGCAAGCCUGAUCCAGCCAUGCCGCGUGCAGGAAGACGCAUCUAUGGUGUGUAAACUGCUUUUGUACGGGAAGAAACACUCCUUCGUGAAGGAGCUUGACGGUACCGUAAGAAUAAGGAUCGGCUAACUCCGUGCCAGCAGCCGCGGUAAUACGGAGGAUCCAAGCGUUAUCCGGAAUCAUUGGGUUUAAAGGGUCCGUAGGCGGUUUAAUAAGUCAGUGGUGAAAUCUGGUCGCUCAACGAUCAAACGGCCAUUGAUACUGUUAGACUUGAAUUACUAGGAAGUAACUAGAAUAUGUAGUGUAGCGGUGAAAUGCUUAGAUAUUACAUGGAAUACCAAUUGCGAAGGCAGGUUACUACUAGUGGAUUGACGCUGAUGGACGAAAGCGUGGGGAGCGAACAGGAUUAGAUACCCUGGUAGUCCACGCCGUAAACGAUGGAUACUAGCUGUUGGGCGCAAAGUUCAGUGGNGUAGAGAAGUAGAGUAAGUAAGUACCACCGUACGGGAGGUACGGUUACGUCGUAAGAAAGUUAAGAAAGUUAAAAGGUUAAAGUUAAGUAACGGCGUUGAGAGAGCGACGGACGACGACGAGGGAGGAGGAG
This 640-nucleotide ribosomal RNA is filed under the name uncultured bacterium. Its description in RNAcentral is "bacterial SSU rRNA". The stretch from base 1 to 537 matches the Rfam family "Bacterial small subunit ribosomal RNA", at positions 338 to 873 of the family's 1533-position model. The record is from RNAcentral.